GAGGGAAUAGCUCAAGUGGUAGAGUGCAUGCUUAGCAUGCAUGAGGUUCUGGGUUCAAUCCCCAGUGCCUCCU
Molecule: transfer RNA, 73 nt
Filed under: Camelus ferus (Wild Bactrian camel)
Lineage: Eukaryota; Metazoa; Chordata; Mammalia; Artiodactyla; Camelidae
Rfam family: tRNA
About the family: Transfer RNA (tRNA) molecules are approximately 80 nucleotides in length.
Source: Rfam by way of RNAcentral